GAUGAACGCUAGCUACAGGCUUAGCACAUGCAAGUCGAGGGGAAACGGGAUUGAGUGCGUGCACUCGUUGGACAUCGACCGGCGCACGGGUGAUUAACGCGAAUCCGACCUUCCCAUUACUGAUGGGAUAACCUGCCAAAAGGCAGACUAAUACCCCAUAUGCUUCGGUGACGGCAUCCACAUAUAAAGUAAAGAUUUAUCGGAAAUGGAUGGGGAUGCGUCUGAUUAGCUUGGUGGCGGGGCAACCGCCCACCCAGAGCAACGAUCGGUAUGGGUUCAGAAAGGAACGUCCCCCACAUUGGAACUGAGACACAGUCCAAACUCCUACAGGAGGCAGCAAUGAUGAAUAUUGGUCAAUGGACGGAAGUCUGAACCACCCAAGUAGCGUGCAGGAUGACGGCCCUAUGGGUUGUAAACUGCUUUUGUAUGGGGAUAAAGCUAGGGACAUGUCCCUAUUAGCAGGUACCAUACGAAUAGAGACCGGCUAAUUCCGUGCCAGCACCCGCGGUAAUACAGAAGGUCCACGCGUUAUCCAGAUUCAUUGCGUUUAAAGGGAGCGUACGCUGGAGAUUAACUGAGGUGUGAUAUGCAGACGCUCAACGUCUGAUUUGCAGCGCAUACUGCUUUCCUUGAGUACGCAACAAGGUUGGCAGAAUUUCCUCGUGUAGCAGUGAAAUGCUUAGAUAUGACGAAGAACUCCGAUGCGAAGGCAGCUGACGGGAGUACAACUGACGCUUAAGCUCGAAGGUGCGGGUAUCAAACAGGAUUAGAUACCCUGGUAGUCCGCACAGUAAACGAUGUAUGCCCGCUGUUGGUGAUUGGUUAUCAGCGGUUAAGCGAAAGCAUUAAGCAUCCCACCUGGGGAGUAGGCCGGCAGCGGUGAAACUCAUAAGGAAUUGACGGGGGCCCGCACAACAGGAGGAACAUGUGGUGGAAUUAGAUGAUACGCGAGGAACAUCAUCCGGGCUCGAAUUCCAGAGGAAGGAUUUGGAGAUAAUCACGCCCUUUGGGGUAUAUGAGAAGGUCACGCAUGGUGGUCGUCAGUUCUCACCGUGAGGUGUGGGAUUAAGUGCCAUAUCGAGCGCAACCCCUCCCCUCAGUUUCCAUCAGGUUAAGAAGGGCACUCUGGAGACACUGCCACCGUAAGGUGUGAGGAAGGUGGGGAUGACGUCAAAUCAUCACGGCCCUUACGUCCGGGGCUACACACGUGUUACAAUGGCCGGUACAGAGGGACGGCGUAAUGCAAAUUGCAUCAAAUCCCGAAAACCGGUUCCAGUUCGGAAUGGGGUUUGCAACCUGACCCCAGGAAGGUGGAUUUGGUAGUAAUCGGGCAUCAGCCAUGGCGCGGUGAAUACGUUCCCGGGCCU
This 1367-nucleotide ribosomal RNA is filed under the name uncultured bacterium. Its description in RNAcentral is "bacterial SSU rRNA". It matches the Rfam family "Bacterial small subunit ribosomal RNA", at positions 28 to 1381 of the family's 1533-position model. The record is from RNAcentral.